GCUUGUCUCAAAGAUUAAGCCAUGCAUGUCUUAGUGUAAAUAACUCUUAUGAAACUGCGAAUGGCUCAUUAAAUCAGUUAUCAAAUACGUGAUGGUCGCCUACUACAUGGAUAACCGUAGUAAUUCUAGAGCUAAUACAUGCGUCAAUACCCUUCUGGGGUAGUAUUUAUUAGAUUGAAACCAACCGCUUCGGCGUGAUGUGGUGAUUCAUAAUAAAUUUGCGAAUCGCAUGGCUUUACGCCGGCGAUGAAUCAUUCAAGUUUCUGACCUAUCAGCUUCCGACGGUAGGGUAUUGGCCUACCGUGGCAAUGACGGGUAACGGAGAAUUAGGGUUCGAUUCCGGAGAGGGAGCCUGAGAAACGGCUACCACAUCUAAGGAAGGCAGCAGG
This 389-nucleotide ribosomal RNA is filed under the name Tabellaria flocculosa. RNAcentral describes it as "partial small subunit ribosomal RNA". It matches the Rfam family "Eukaryotic small subunit ribosomal RNA", at positions 30 to 432 of the family's 1831-position model. Lineage: Eukaryota; Bacillariophyta; Fragilariophyceae; Tabellariales; Tabellariaceae. The record is from RNAcentral.